UUAAAUUGAAGAGUUUGAUCAUGGCUCAGAUUGAACGCUGGCGGCAGGCCUAACACAUGCAAGUCGAGCGGAA
This 73-nucleotide ribosomal RNA is filed under the name Vibrio alginolyticus. RNAcentral describes it as "partial 16S ribosomal RNA". It matches the Rfam family "Bacterial small subunit ribosomal RNA", at positions 1 to 71 of the family's 1533-position model. Lineage: Bacteria; Pseudomonadati; Pseudomonadota; Gammaproteobacteria; Vibrionales; Vibrionaceae. The record is from RNAcentral. RNAcentral also lists the same sequence under 3 other names.